Molecule: ribosomal RNA, 438 nt
Filed under: uncultured bacterium
Lineage: Bacteria
Description: bacterial SSU rRNA
Rfam family: Bacterial small subunit ribosomal RNA
Source: RNAcentral
UAGUCCACGCCGUAAACGAUGCUAACUCGGUGCUUGUCUACUUGAAGAUGAGUGCCAAAGCGAAAGUAUUAAGUUAGCCACCUGGGGAGUACGCUGGCAAUAGUGAAACUCAAAGGAAUUGACGGGGGCUCACACAAGCGGUGGAGGAUGUGGCUUAAUUCGAGGCUACGCGAAGAACCUUAUCCUGGUCUUGACAUGUUUAGGAAUUCUCGUGAAAGCGAGAAGUGCCUUUCGGGGAGCCUUUUCACAGGUGCUGCAUGGCUGUCGUCAGCUCGUGUCGUGAGAUGUCGGGUUAAGUCCCUUAACGAGCGAAAACCCUUUAUCCCUUAGGUUGCCAGCGAGUAAUGUCGGGGACUCUAGGGAGACUGCCGGUGUGAAACCGGGNGGAAGGUGGGGAUGACGUCAAGUCCUCAUGGCCUUUAUGGACCAGGGGCUGCA